This 253-nucleotide ribosomal RNA is filed under the name uncultured bacterium. RNAcentral describes it as "partial 16S ribosomal RNA". It matches the Rfam family "Bacterial small subunit ribosomal RNA", at positions 524 to 776 of the family's 1533-position model. The record is from RNAcentral.
UACGAAGGGGGCUAGCGUUGUUCGGAAUCACUGGGCGUAAAGCGCACGCAGGCGGAUUGAUAAGUCGGGGGUGAAAUCCCGGGGCUCAACCUCGGAAUUGCCUUCGAUACUGUCUGUCUUGAGUCCGGGAGAGGUGAGUGGAACUCCUAGUGUAGAGGUGAAAUUCGUAGAUAUUAGGAAGAACACCAGUGGCGAAGGCGGCUCACUGGCCCGGUACUGACGCUCAUGUGCGAAAGCGUGGGGAGCAAACAGG